This 505-nucleotide ribosomal RNA is filed under the name Leucorrhinia intermedia. Its description in RNAcentral is "partial 16S rRNA". It matches the Rfam family "Archaeal large subunit ribosomal RNA", at positions 1911 to 2666 of the family's 2987-position model. The record is from RNAcentral. Lineage: Eukaryota; Metazoa; Arthropoda; Insecta; Odonata; Libellulidae.
GUCCUUUUGAAUUUAAUUGAAGGUCUGACCUGCCCAGUGAUGAAUUUAACGGCCGCGGUAUAUUGACCGUGCAAAGGUAGCAUAAUCAUUAGUCUUUUAAUAGAGGGCUGGAAUGAAUGGUUUAACGAGGAACUGACUGUCUCAUUUUAUUUGUUUUAAAAUUUAAUUUUUUAGUCAAAAAGCUAAAAUUUUAUUGGAAGACGAGAAGACCCUAUAGAUCUUUAUAUAAAUUCUUGUAAUUAUUUCUAUAUUAAUAUGGUUAUAUUAAUUUAUAUUUUGUUGGGGUGACAAAAAUAUAUAAUUAACUUUUUUAUUUAUUUACCAUUGAUAUAUGAAUAUUUGAUCCAUUAUUAGUGAUUGUUAGAUUAAGUUACCUUAGGGAUAACAGCGUAAUCCUCCUCCAGAGUUCAUAUUUACAGGAAGGGCUUGCGACCUCGAUGUUGGAUUAAGAUAAUAAUUAGGUGUAGCCGCUUAAUUUAUAGGUCUGUUCGACCUUUAAAUUCUU